GACGAACGCUGGCGGCGUGCCUAAUACAUGCAAGUAGAACGCUGAAGGAGGAGCUUGCUCUUCUGGAUGAGUUGCGAACGGGUGAGUAACGCGUAGGUAACCUGCCUGGUAGCGGGGGAUAACUAUUGGAAACGAUAGCUAAUACCGCAUAACAGUAGAUGUUGCAUGACAUUUACUUAAAAGGUGCAAUUGCAUCACUACCAGAUGGACCUGCGUUGUAUUAGCUAGUUGGUGGGGUAACGGCUCACCAAGGCGACGGUACAUAGCCGACCUGAGAGGGUGAUCGGCCACACUGGGACUGGGACACGGCCCAGACUCCUACGGGAGGCAGCAGUAGGGAAUCUUCGGCAAUGGACGGAAGUCUGACCGAGCAACGCCGCGUGAGUGAAGAAGGGUUUCGGAUCGUAAAGCUCUGUUGUAAGAGAAGAACGAGUGUGAGAGUGGAAAGUUCACACUGUGACGGUAUCUUACCAGAAAGGGACGGCUAACUACGUG
RNAcentral lists this ribosomal RNA (495 nucleotides) under uncultured bacterium. RNAcentral's name for it is "partial 16S ribosomal RNA". It matches the Rfam family "Bacterial small subunit ribosomal RNA", at positions 28 to 507 of the family's 1533-position model. The record is from RNAcentral.